RNAcentral lists this long non-coding RNA (222 nucleotides) under Elaeis guineensis (African oil palm). RNAcentral's name for it is "long non-coding RNA (EGUI_LNC044559)". Lineage: Eukaryota; Viridiplantae; Streptophyta; Magnoliopsida; Arecales; Arecaceae. The record is from RNAcentral.
ACAUAUAUUUCAACUUGGCUCUGAUACCAGUUGAAAGAAAGAAAAACAGUUUUUCUUCGGGAUGCCCAGGUUGUAUCUAAAAUUUUUUUAAUAUUCAACUUAUUUAAUGAUCAAAUUCUUAUCUGAAACAUAGUAGAAUCAGAGAUCAAAUCUCAAAUUAUCUGAUAUAAGCCUUCACGGAGGUCUGGAUGUGCAGACCCUCUAUUUCGCAUGCACGUCAGA